This 480-nucleotide long non-coding RNA is filed under the name Danio rerio (zebrafish). RNAcentral's name for it is "lncRNA si:dkey-9i5.1 (ENSDARG00000096099.4)". The record is from RNAcentral. Lineage: Eukaryota; Metazoa; Chordata; Actinopteri; Cypriniformes; Danionidae.
GCCUUGCCGGAGCAUCAUUAGACGCCCAGUAUAUGGAAAAGACAGGUGUGGCUUCCUGGUUUCCCUUGGGAUGAAAUUAUGGAGAGGAAGGGGAGGGUGAAGGGAUGACAGGAACUGUCGGAAUGACUGAGAUGCAUUGCAUACAAAAAGACCUGAUGCAGCCCUAAUAGUGACUCUUUUAUGGCAGCUCAUCCCCCAGAGACGACUUUCUCCCACAAUGCCCUGACCCUGAGAUCUAUGUGUGGAAUUCUCUGCUCAUUUAUCAGUGUGGGCCUGCUCCUCUCCCUGCGCACUCUCAUUUUUUCACAGUCCCGAUCCUGGUACUGUUGCACCCCAAACUACAUCUGUGUAACUCUCAGACUUGCACACAACCGAGCAUACCUACAGCUGUGGGAAAAGUUAUGUGUUUUUCUCUCCAAAUUCAAAAUAUAAACACUUAAGAUAACAAAACAUAACUAAAUUAACAUAAAUAUUUUAGUU